ACACCUCAACUCUCAUGGUCUGCCAUGAUGAGCUUGGAUUUUGGGGGUCUUGCUGGCCUACAGUCAGCUCCCCUCAAAUGAAUUAGCUUUCCAGUGUUUGGUGGCAUCACGGGUGUGAUAAAUAUCUACACUUGUGGUUUUCUGCCAGGUAACCUUCAGUGAUGGGGGUUCGCUGGGGCUCAUAAACGUCUCUCCUUCAGCGAAGACAGCUUUGUGAAU
RNAcentral lists this unclassified non-coding RNA (219 nucleotides) under uncultured Tomentella. RNAcentral's name for it is "sequence contains ITS2". Lineage: Eukaryota; Fungi; Basidiomycota; Agaricomycetes; Thelephorales; Thelephoraceae. The record is from RNAcentral. RNAcentral also lists the same sequence under 1 other name.